GAUGAACGCUGGCGGCGUGCCUAACACAUGCAAGUCGAGCGAACCCUUCGGGGUGAGCGGCGGACGGGUGAGUAACGCGUGGGUAACCUGCCCUAUACACACGGAUAACGUACCGAAAGGUACGCUAAUACGGGAUAAAGUUGUUGGAUGGCAUCUUCUAACAAUCAAAGCUCCGGCGGUAAAGGAUGGACACGCGUCUGAUUAGCUAGUUGGUGAGGUAAUGGCUCACCAAGGUGACGAUCAGUAGCCGAGCGGAGAGGGUGAUCGGCCACACUGGAACGGAGACACGGUCCAGUCACCUACGGGAGGCAGCAGUGGGGAAUAUUGCACAAUGGGCGAAAGCCUGAUGCAGCAACGCCGCGUGAGCGAUGAAGGUCUUCGGAUCGUAAAGCUCUGUCCUCAAGGAAGAUAAUGACGGUACUUGAGGAGGAAGCCCCGGCUAACUACGUGCCAGCCGCCGCGGUAA
This 466-nucleotide ribosomal RNA is filed under the name uncultured bacterium. RNAcentral describes it as "partial 16S ribosomal RNA". It matches the Rfam family "Bacterial small subunit ribosomal RNA", at positions 28 to 523 of the family's 1533-position model. The record is from RNAcentral.